CAGCCGCCGCGGGAAAACGGAGGGUGCAAGCGUUAAUCGGAAUUACUGGGCGUAAAGCGUGCGUAGGCGGUUCGUUAAGUCUGUUGUGAAAGCCCCGGGCUCAACCUGGGAAUGGCAAUGGAUACUGGCGAGCUAGAGUGUGUCAGAGGAUGGUGGAAUUCCCGGUGUAGCGGUGAAAUGCGUAGAGAUCGGGAGGAACAUCAGUGGCGAAGGCGGCCAUCUGGGACAACACUGACGCUGAGGCACGAAAGCGUGGGGAGCAAACAGGAUUAGAUACCCCAGUAGUCCCUGUCUCUUAUAA
This 301-nucleotide ribosomal RNA is filed under the name uncultured bacterium. Its description in RNAcentral is "partial 16S ribosomal RNA". It matches the Rfam family "Bacterial small subunit ribosomal RNA", at positions 509 to 809 of the family's 1533-position model. The record is from RNAcentral.